This 368-nucleotide ribosomal RNA is filed under the name Escherichia coli. Its description in RNAcentral is "bacterial SSU rRNA". It matches the Rfam family "Bacterial small subunit ribosomal RNA", at positions 108 to 472 of the family's 1533-position model. Lineage: Bacteria; Pseudomonadati; Pseudomonadota; Gammaproteobacteria; Enterobacterales; Enterobacteriaceae. The record is from RNAcentral.
GAGUAAUGUCUGGGAAACUGCCUGAUGGAGGGGGAUAACUACUGGAAACGGUAGCUAAUACCGCAUAACGUCGCAAGACCAAAGAGGGGGACCUUCGGGCCUCUUGCCAUCGGAUGUGCCCAGAUGGGAUUAGCUAGUAGGUGGGGUAAAGGCUCACCUAGGCGACGAUCCCUAGCUGGUCUGAGAGGAUGACCAGCCACACUGGAACUGAGACACGGUCCAGACUCCUACGGGAGGCAGCAGUGGGGAAUAUUGCACAAUGGGCGCAAGCCUGAUGCAGCCAUGCCGCGUGUAUGAAGAAGGCCUUCGGGUUGUAAAGUACUUUCAGCGGGGAGGAAGGGAGUAAAGUUAAUACCUUUGCUCAUUGA